Molecule: ribosomal RNA, 216 nt
Filed under: Petipirene sp. D2048
Lineage: Eukaryota; Metazoa; Arthropoda; Insecta; Hymenoptera; Pirenidae
Description: partial 28S ribosomal RNA
Rfam family: Eukaryotic large subunit ribosomal RNA
Source: RNAcentral
UUUCCCUCAGGAUAGCUGGCACUCGCUUUAAAGCGAGUCUCAUCUGGUAAAGCGAAUGAUUAGAGGCCUUGGGGCCGAAACGACCUCAACCUAUUCUCAAACUUUAAAUGGGUGAGAUCUCUGGCUUGCUUGAACGUUGAAGCCACGAGAUGUAAAAUAUAAAGGAUCAGAGUGCCAAGUGGGCCAAUUUUGGUAAGCAGAACUGGCGCUGUGGGA